CCUACGGGAGGCAGCAGUGGGGCAUAUUGCACAAGGGGGGGAACCCUGAUGCAGCGACGCCGCGUGGGUGAGGAAGUACUUCGGUAUGUAGAGCCCUAUCAGCAGGGAAGAACAUGACGUGACCUGACUAAGAAGCCCCGGCUAACUACGUGCCAGCAGCCGCGGUAAUAAGUAGGGGGCAAGUGUUAUCCUGAUUUACUGGGGUGAAAGGGAGCGUAGACGGCGUGCCAAGUCUGAUGUGAAAGGCCGGGGCUCAACCCCGGGACUGCAUUUGAAACUGGCAUGCUGGAGUGCCGGAGGGGCAAGCGGAAUUCCUAGUGUAGCGGUGACAUGCGUAGAUAUUAGGAGGAACACCGGUGGCGAAGGCGGCUUGCUGGACGGUAACUGACGUUGAGGCUCGAAAGCGUGGGGAGCAAACAGGAUUAGAUACCCGAGUAGUC
This 440-nucleotide ribosomal RNA is filed under the name uncultured bacterium. Its description in RNAcentral is "partial 16S ribosomal RNA". It matches the Rfam family "Bacterial small subunit ribosomal RNA", at positions 338 to 795 of the family's 1533-position model. The record is from RNAcentral.